Molecule: ribosomal RNA, 398 nt
Filed under: uncultured bacterium
Lineage: Bacteria
Description: partial 16S ribosomal RNA
Rfam family: Bacterial small subunit ribosomal RNA
Source: RNAcentral
AUACGUAGGGUGCGAGCGUUGUCCGGAAUUACUGGGCGUAAAGAGCUCGUAGGUGGUUUGUCGCGUCGUCUGUGAAAUUCCGGGGCUUAACUCCGGGCGUGCAGGCGAUACGGGCAUAACUUGAGUACUGUAGGGGAGACUGGAAUUCCUGGUGUAGCGGUGAAAUGCGCAGAUAUCAGGAGGAACACCGGUGGCGAAGGCGGGUCUCUGGGCAGUAACUGACGCUGAGGAGCGAAAGCAUGGGUAGCGAACAGGAUUAAAUACCCUGGUAGUCCAUGCCAUAAACGGUGGGCGCUAGGUGUAGGGGUCUUCCACGACUUCUGUGCCGUAGCUAACGCAUUAAGCGCCCCGCCUGGGGAGUACGGCCGCAAGGCUAAAACUCAAAUGAAUUGACGGGG